AGCGAACGCUGGCGGCGUGCCUAACACAUGCAAGUCGAGCGAGAAAAGGGGGAGCAAUCCCCUGAGUACAGCGGCGCACGGGUGAGUAACACGUAGGUGACCUCCCCUCAGCUCUGGGAUAAGCCUGGGAAACCGGGUCUAAUACUGGAUAUGACUCCAUGACGCAUGUUGUGGGGUGGAAAGCCUUGUGCGGCUGAGGAUGGGCCCGCGGCCUAUCAGCUGUUGGUGGGGUGAUGGCCUACCAAGGCGACGACGGGUAGCCGGCCUGAGGAGGGCGACCGGCCACACUGGGACGUGAGACACGGCCCAGACUCCUACGGGAGGCAGCAGUGGGGAAUCUUGCGCAAUGGGCGAAAGCCUGACGCAGCGACG
Molecule: ribosomal RNA, 372 nt
Filed under: uncultured bacterium
Lineage: Bacteria
Description: bacterial SSU rRNA
Rfam family: Bacterial small subunit ribosomal RNA
Source: RNAcentral